GACGAACGCUGGCGGCGCGCCUAACACAUGCAAGUCGAACGGGGUCCUUUUAGGAAGCUUGCUUCUUGGCUGGACCUAGUGGCGGACGGGUGAGUAACACGUGAGCAACCUGCCCUGGAGUGGGGGAUAACGUUUGGAAACGAACGCUAAUACCGCAUAACAUCCCGGUGUGGCAUCGCACUGGGAUCAAAGGAUUUAUUCGCUUUGGGAUGGGCUCGCGCCCGAGUAGAUAGUUGGUGAGGUAAUGGCUCACCAAGUCUGCGAUCGGUAGCCGGACUGAGAGGUUGAUCGGCCACAUUGGGACUGAGACACGGCCCAGACUCCUACGGGAGGCAGCAGUGGGGGAUAUUGCACAAUGGGGGAAACCCUGAUGCAGCGACGCCGCGUGAGUGAAGACGGCCUUCGGGUUGUAAAGCUCUGUUGAGGGGGACGAUAAUGACGGUACCCCUUUAGAAAGCCACGGCUAACUACGUGCCAGCAGCCGCCGUAAAAC
This 493-nucleotide ribosomal RNA is filed under the name uncultured bacterium. RNAcentral's name for it is "bacterial SSU rRNA". It matches the Rfam family "Bacterial small subunit ribosomal RNA", at positions 28 to 526 of the family's 1533-position model. The record is from RNAcentral.